UUUGGUUAAGUUAGAAAGGGCGCACGGUGGAUGCCUUGACACUAGGAGUCGAUGAAGGACGGGACUAACGCCGAUAUGCUUCGGGGAGCUGUAAGUAAGCUUUGAUCCGAAGAUUUCCGAAUGGGGAAACCCACCAUACGUAAUGGUAUGGUAUCCUUGCCUGAAUACAUAGGGUAAGGAAGACAGACCCAGGGAACUGAAACAUCUAAGUACCUGGAGGAAGAGAAAGCAAAUGCGAUUUCCUGAGUAGCGGCGAGCGAAACGGAACAUAGCCCAAACCAAGAGGCUUGCCUCUUGGGGUUGUAGGACAUUCUAUACGGAGUUACAAAGGAACGAGGUAGACGAAGCGACCUGGAAAGGUCCGUCGUAGAGGGUAACAACCCCGUAGUCGAAACUUCGUUCUCUCUUGAAUGUAUCCUGAGUACGGCGGAACACGUGAAAUUCCGUCGGAAUCUGGGAGGACCAUCUCCCAAGGCUAAAUACUCCCUAGUGAUCGAUAGUGAACCAGUACCGUGAGGGAAAGGUGAAAAGCACCCCGGAAGGGGAGUGAAAGAGAUCCUGAAACCGUGUGCCUACAAAUAGUCAGAGCCCGUUAAUGGGUGAUGGCGUGCCUUUUGUAGAAUGAACCGGCGAGUUACGAUCCCGUGCGAGGUUAAGCUGAAGAGGCGGAGCCGCAGCGAAAGCGAGUCUGAAUAGGGCGUUUAGUACGUGGUCGUAGACCCGAAACCAGGUGAUCUACCCAUGUCCAGGGUGAAGUUCAGGUAACACUGAAUGGAGGCCCGAACCCACGCACGUUGAAAAGUGCGGGGAUGAGGUGUGGGUAGCGGAGAAAUUCCAAUCGAACCUGGAGAUAGCUGGUUCUCCCCGAAAUAGCUUUAGGGCUAGCCUUAAGUGUAAGAGUCUUGGAGGUAGAGCACUGAUUGAACUAGGGGUCCUCAUCGGAUUACCGAAUUCAGUCAAACUCCGAAUGCCAAUGACUUAUCCUUAGGAGUCAGACUGCGAGUGAUAAGAUCCGUAGUCAAGAGGGAAACAGCCCAGAUCGCCAGCUAAGGUCCCAAAGUGUGUAUUAAGUGGAAAAGGAUGUGGAGUUGCUUAGACAACUAGGAUGUUGGCUUAGAAGCAGCCACCAUUUAAAGAGUGCGUAAUAGCUCACUAGUCGAGUGACUCUGCGCCGAAAAUGUACCGGGGCUAAAUACACCACCGAAGCUGCGAAUUGAUACCAAUGGUAUCAGUGGUAGGGGAGCGUUCUAAGUGCAGUGAAGUCAGACCGGAAGGACUGGUGGAGCGCUUAGAAGUGAGAAUGCCGGUAUGAGUAGCGAAAGACGGGUGAGAAUCCCGUCCACCGAAUGCCUAAGGUUUCCUGAGGAAGGCUCGUCCGCUCAGGGUUAGUCAGGACCUAAGCCGAGGCCGACAGGCGUAGGCGAUGGACAACAGGUUGAUAUUCCUGUACCACCUCUUUAUCGUUUGAGCAAUGGAGGGACGCAGAAGGAUAGAAGAAGCGUGCGAUUGGUUGUGCACGUCCAAGCAGUUAGGCUGAUAAGUAGGCAAAUCCGCUUAUCGUGAAGGCUGAGCUGUGAUGGGGAAGCUCCUUAUGGAGCGAAGUCUUUGAUUCCCCGCUGCCAAGAAAAGCUUCUAGCGAGAUAAAAGGUGCCUGUACCGCAAACCGACACAGGUAGGCGAGGAGAGAAUCCUAAGGUGUGCGAGAGAACUCUGGUUAAGGAACUCGGCAAAAUGACCCCGUAACUUCGGGAGAAGGGGUGCUUUCUUAACGGAAAGCCGCAGUGAAUAGGCCCAAGCGACUGUUUAGCAAAAACACAGGUCUCUGCGAAGCCGUAAGGCGAAGUAUAGGGGCUGACACCUGCCCGGUGCUGGAAGGUUAAGGAGAGGGGUUAGCGUAAGCGAAGCUCUGAACUGAAGCCCCAGUAAACGGCGGCCGUAACUAUAACGGUCCUAAGGUAGCGAAAUUCCUUGUCGGGUAAGUUCCGACCCGCACGAAAGGUGUAACGAUUUGGGCACUGUCUCAACCAGAGACUCGGUGAAAUUAUAGUACCUGUGAAGAUGCAGGUUACCCGCGACAGGACGGAAAGACCCCGUGGAGCUUUACUGUAGCCUGAUAUUGAAUUUUGGUACANNUGUAUUGAAAUUCUAACCUACGGGUCUUAUCGACCCGGGAGACAGUGUCAGGUGGGCAGUUUGACUGGGGCGGUCGCCUCCUAAAGUGUAACGGAGGCGCCCAAAGGUUCCCUCAGAAUGGUUGGAAAUCAUUCGUAGAGUGCAAAGGCAUAAGGGAGCUUGACUGCGAGACCUACAAGUCGAGCAGGGACGAAAGUCGGGCUUAGUGAUCCGGUGGUUCCGCAUGGAAGGGCCAUCGCUCAACGGAUAAAAGCUACCCCGGGGAUAACAGGCUUAUCUCCCCCAAGAGUCCACAUCGACGGGGAGGUUUGGCACCUCGAUGUCGGCUCAUCGCAUCCUGGGGCUGUAGUCGGUCCCAAGGGUUGGGCUGUUCGCCCAUUAAAGCGGUACGCGAGCUGGGUUCAGAACGUCGUGAGACAGUUCGGUCCCUAUCCGUCGUGGGCGUAGGAAAUUUGAGAGGAGCUGUCCUUAGUACGAGAGGACCGGGAUGGACGCACCGCUGGUGUACCAGUUGUUCUGCCAAGGGCAUAGCUGGGUAGCUAUGUGCGGAAGGGAUAAGUGCUGAAAGCAUCUAAGCAUGAAGCCCCCCUCAAGAUGAGAUUUCCCAUAGCGUAAGCUAGUAAGAUCCCUGAAAGAUGAUCAGGUUGAUAGGUUCGAGGUGGAAGCAUGGUGACAUGUGGAGCUGACGAAUACUAAUAGAUCGAGGACUUAACCAUAUAA
Molecule: ribosomal RNA, 2853 nt
Filed under: Bacillus wiedmannii
Lineage: Bacteria; Bacillati; Bacillota; Bacilli; Caryophanales; Bacillaceae
Description: bacterial LSU rRNA
Rfam family: Bacterial large subunit ribosomal RNA
Source: RNAcentral